RNAcentral lists this ribosomal RNA (253 nucleotides) under uncultured bacterium. RNAcentral describes it as "partial 16S ribosomal RNA". It matches the Rfam family "Bacterial small subunit ribosomal RNA", at positions 524 to 776 of the family's 1533-position model. The record is from RNAcentral.
UACGGGGGGAGCAAGCGUUGUCCGGAAUCAUUGGGCGUAAAGAGCUCGUAGGUGGUUUGUCGCGUUGUUCGUGAAAACUCACAGCUUAACUGUGGGCGUGCGGGCGAUACGGGCAGACUUGAGUACUGCAGGGGAGACUGGAAUUCCUGGUGUAGCGGUGGAAUGCGCAGAUAUCAGGAGGAACACCGGUGGCGAAGGCGGGUCUCUGGGCAGUAACUGACGCUGAGGAGCGAAAGCGUGGGGAGCGAACAGG